AGUAGUUGUAGUAGUAUAAUGUUAUGACCACAGGACAACACACAAUAAAAAUGAUGGUCUCAGGGCAACAAACAUGAUGAUGAUUGAGUCAGGACGGCACACAUGAUGAUGAUGAUGAUGGUCUCAGGACAACAAACAUGAUGAUGAUUGAGUCAGGACAGCACACAUGAUGAUGAUGAUGAUGGUCUCAGGACAACAAACAUGAUGAUGAUUGAGUCAGGACUAGACUCACUGCAGCAUACAAAGAUAUUAAUUUCCAAUGACCCAACAUGUUGAUGAAAACAUGCUAUUAUAGCCUGUCUCAGUUUAGCUUACUACUCACUUUAUAGAAAUAAUAUUUCUUGCCAUAAUGAGCUCACAAAUGCUCAAAUGCGAAAACAAUCUUUAUUUUUUCUUAUAGAGAACACAGUACAUAGAUUAGCUACAGAUAAAUACCUUUACAAAUUCACAAAUAAUUUACAGAUAGUAUUAUGUUGCUAUGCAUUAUGGCGCAUGUUAACUUUUGUUCUAAGUAUCCAGCAUUUGAUAACCUUCAAUGUAAGAAAAGCUAACCGCUUACCUAGCUGGCCUGCUAAGAUUUGCUAUCUUUCGUGGUAAAAGUUGUACAAAAAUAACAAAAAAGCUCCACAUAUCUAUGCCUAACUACCAAUUUUGCAGAAGAAAAUAAGCAAGACUCUGAUAAAAGUGUGCCUACCUGAAGAUCAGAAAUUUUAGCAGGUAAGUUAGCUCUGCUUGGAGCUCCUGAUUUAGCUCUGCUCCUUCUUUCAAAUUUCUUUUGGAAAGAAAAAAGGCUCACACUGAUGAUGUCAUGGACGCUAAGAGAUUUUGACUGGCUGAUGUGUUUUGUUGACCUGAGGGCUUCAUCACAGUUAUCGCCCUCAAGACAGUCACAACUUCAAAAUCAAGACAGUCAAAAUCAGCAGAUGCUCCACGGGUACACUGAUGACACACAGUUGUUUGUAUUGGUAAAACCAGAUGAUAAACUUCAACUUAAUAAGACUGAGGACUGUAUAAAAGUCCUAAAAGACAGGAUGUUGAAUAACUUCCUCCUACUCAACUCAGAGAAAACAGUGGUUCUUCUUCUUGGUACAGAAGCUGCUAGAAACAAACUGACUAAUUUAACGCUUACACAUAAGUUUUUCAGUUGCAUCAAGUACAUCUGUAAAAAAACUUGGUGUCAUGAUAGAUCAUGAUCUGUUCUUCAAUGCACAUACAACCAAUAUUGCUAAAUUAAGAAAUGCACUGAGUCUACAGGAUGCAGAAAAGCUAGUUCAUGCAUUUAUUACCCGAAGGCUGGAUUACUGCAAUGUCCCGCUGUCUGGAUGUUCCAGCAAAAGCCUCAACAAGCUUCAGUUAGUCCAGAAUGCUGCAGCCAGAGUCCUCACACGAAUUAGAAUGUUUGACCAUAUCAGUCCAGUGUUAUCAACCCUAUAGUGGUUGCCAGUUAAAUUUUGCACUGAGUACAAAAUUCUCUUACUGACUUAUAAAGCUCUUAACGGCCCCUCAGUACCUGAGUAAACGUCUCUCUUAUUGUGAACCAUCACACCUACUUAGAUUACAAGGUGCUGGCUUACUAUUAGUACCUAGAAUUAAUAAAGUUACAUCAAGGGCAGAGCCUUCUCAUACAAAGCCCCCCAACUUUGGAAUAAUCUUCCAGUCAGUGUUCCAGUGACUCAGAUACAGCCUCAGUCUUUCAGUCUAGGCUAAAGAACUACUUGUUCAGUUGAGCCUUUGGUAAUUAGUUUUCCCAUUAGAUAAAAGGUGCAGAAAUGCGGGUUCAUGGUCAUAGAGUAUUAUGGUAAACUGGAAGUGUUGGAACUGGCUACCGUUUGUUGACAGUGGAGCGGAGGGGCGCUGACAUUUCAGAGAGCCAUCAUGUCUCUGUUACCUUCUGGCUCUCACUUUGCGUUAGGCUGUAAUAGCUUGACCCGCCAGAGUCUCUGCUGCUCUCUGUUAACACUGUAUACUGUGAUCAGUCUGAAUUAACAGAACUAACCACCUGUGUGUUUCUUUGCUGAGCUGAACAGCUGAUCAUCUUGUGUGUCUGAUGCUGUUCUUCAUCUGCGUCGAUCAAGUGCCCACUGCUCGCCAGCCUUCUGGACCAGCCUGAUCAUGGAGGUUCUUGCUGAACAACACUGUGCAAACCCCACCUGCAUGAACUGACCCUCCUGAUGAUACUGCUGCAUUUUUAAUCAUAGACAUUGCUAUUCCUGCUUUUCCCUUUUUCCAGAUCUUAUAUUGAUGGUCAAAUCUCAUUCCCUGCUGUUCCUGUUUGCUAUCCGGUGGGACCAGAGGAGACUCUGGGAGGGCAUGCCCAAGCAUAUCUAAUGCCCUGGAGGGCACUGACCCACCUGUGUCCAGCAAUCUAGAGCUGCCUAGUGCUUUGGAAGGCAUCAACAGCUCAGCGCCCAGCCCAAGUAACUAAUGACAACAGUCACUUCGCUGAGCUGCAGCCUAUAUCAACACUGAAGAGCAGGAGACAUGAACUCUUGUAUCUCCCUGAGCUUUCCACUUUGCCUUCAAUAAUGUUAUGCUGUAAUCAGGUGAUGGAGGACACAUGCUGUGUCAUUAGCUUUAAAUGUGUAUAUAUAUAUAUGUGAUGAAAUCAGGGUGUAGAGAAACAAACGAUAAAUUAACACAUUUAUUGCUAAUAAAUCGUUAAAAAGGAACUGUGA
Long non-coding RNA from Colossoma macropomum (tambaqui), 2675 nucleotides. RefSeq lists it as uncharacterized. The record is from RefSeq and is a predicted model, not a curated record. NCBI's taxonomy places the organism in Eukaryota, Metazoa, Chordata, Actinopteri, Characiformes, Serrasalmidae. The transcript has 2 exons.